Arachis duranensis is the source of this 1275-nucleotide long non-coding RNA. RefSeq lists it as uncharacterized. NCBI's taxonomy places the organism in Eukaryota, Viridiplantae, Streptophyta, Magnoliopsida, Fabales, Fabaceae. The record is from RefSeq and is a predicted model, not a curated record. The transcript has 3 exons.
CACACCCACAGAAACGCACAGAAAGAGGAGACGGCGCCGAUAGAGCUGGUAGCCGCUGUUGCAGUCGAUGCUCGCAAAGAAGAGAGAGAGAGUGAGGGCGAUCGAGAUGAGAAGAAGUAGAGAAUGAGAAGACGCGAAGAUGAGGAGCCGUCCCGCACUGCCACUGCGUCGCCGUCAUUGUCACGCGAUGGAGGAGGAAGCCGUUGCCGUCGCCAUCGAGCACGAGAGAAAGAGAGAGGUUUGCAGUGGAGUGAGAAGGAGGUAGAGAUAGGCACGAUCGAGAAGGAAGCUCGCGACAGAGAUGAGACGGACCGUCGCCAUCACCGCUGGUGUGGUCGGAGUUGCCGUCGUCGUCGAUUGAAGGUACCACCGUCGUAGUGGAACAAACCCAGAGAGAGAUGAACAAGGCUCGAAGAGAGUGAGCGUCGCUCCUCUGCCGUUUCUGCUCAGCGUCGCUGCCGCCAGAGUUCAUCUCUGCCGCCGCCAUUGGAGAUGAACCCAGUUGUUCUCUUGCUGCCGGAGGUAUUGUUGUCACUGCUCUAGCUCAAUUAUGUAUCGUUACAGUUGCUGUUUGGCUCAAUUAUUUUAUGUCAUUGGGAUUUGCUUUAAAGUGUUUCUUGUGUCAUUAAAUCUCAAUUAUGUAUUCCUUGUGUCAUUUGUGUGUAAAUAGUUCAUCCUUUUCCACAUGUCGAUACUGUGUUUAUCUUUUAUUUUUCUUUUUGUGGGAUCACUACACACUAUUAUUUAUCUAAUGACUAAAAUUGGCAUGGUUCGUACAUACUCCUGUAUGACUCACUAGGAAGCAUUAUUACAACAAGAUUUCUUUAAGGUAUGAUUUAGUUGAUCGGCGGACUCCAACUGGCUUCUUUAAGAAGUAAAGAUUGAAGUAAGUUGCUUUGAUGAAUGAAUUUUGGCAUCAGGUUUAGCUUAGCGUGUUCACAUGAACGCUUUUGUCUCCGGAUGUUAGGAGGUCAUCAUGUUUAUCCAUCUUGGCAUCAUUUUAGUGCUAUGUUUGUGUUGUUCGAGAUGCUUGUUUAUAAGCUUCGAGAGGCGUUGGAUCAGACCCCUGAAGCCAUUUGAUCUCGCCACACUAAUCUUGAGAAUUGAGAGCUACAAUGAAGCCUGUCAAAAAUGAAGUGUUAAAAACAAAAAGAAGCUACUCAGAGGAUUUUAAGUACUUUGGUGCUGAGCUUUCAAAUGUUUAAGUGACUGAAACAAAAGUUCUCGAGCGUUGAGAAGAAAGAAUAGCAAUACCAGAAAUAAUCUAUCCUGGCA